Mus caroli (Ryukyu mouse) is the source of this 4823-nucleotide long non-coding RNA. RefSeq lists it as uncharacterized. The record is from RefSeq and is a predicted model, not a curated record. NCBI's taxonomy places the organism in Eukaryota, Metazoa, Chordata, Mammalia, Rodentia, Muridae.
AAGGGAAACGACUUGGGGCUCACGUAGGCAUAGCAGAAUGAAACUUCCGUACAUUUUAAUCUGAAUAAUUCUUCAGGAUUGAAAAUUAUUUGGUUGUGCCUUGGUUGGACUGCGCUGGGAUCUCGCUGCCUCUACGUUUCCGGAGUCUUUAGUGAAGAGAUGAUUUUUUUUUUUUUUUUUUGAAACUGGGUUUAUGUGCGUCCCCCUCACCCCUCCUCUCUUUUUUCUUUCUGCCUCUGUCGUCUCUCUCGCUGGCUUUUUUUUUUUUUUUUUAAAUGAGGAUCCGUUCCAUGAACAUUUUGCACAGAGCACAGAAUUGCUUCUAAAGUCAGCCCGGCGCAGUUGCAAUAGACAGCAAAAAGGUAAACGUUUGCCUGAAAUCCGCACGGCAGCUUCACCACCCCGCCCGAUGGUUCUGUAACAAUCAAGAACACGUGAACACCUACCUGUGGGAGGAGGCUUGGGGGCACACUGUUUCUGGUGCCUGCUGAAGCCAGCAUUCUGGAGAUGGACAGCCGUUCAAGGAAAUGAAGGGAGAUUUUGUAAAUUGCAGAUUCUAAGCAGGACAAGGACUGUUGCUUCCCUGAAUUGGCCUGCUUUCCCAGAGUAUCUUAAAAGGUCUCUUGAAACAAAUAAAAUCCUCAGAACUUCUGGGACUAUCACAGACAGUGUCCUGUUACUGGCUUUAAACAGUCCCUCAUGAGGAAGAAGCCCUAUAUCCUGAAGUCAGAUGUCAAUCAUCCUGGGAAGACUCAGCCAAGAAUACAUGCUUAGAAGAAAACUGUUUCAAGCAUCGUCAUUUUCGUGGAUGUAUCUGCACAGUCCUCCCUUUCCACAAACACCAACACUGAAGCCCCGACGCUGGGAGUCUCUGAUACAGGGGCGCUCAAAGAACGAAAGUCUGCAGCCUUUGUUCCUUUGUGUGUUCAAUAAGUAUCCCCUGAUGCACUCACCUGCUGCACAAUAUGGGAGGAGCUUUUCUGUGGGAGCAGAGGCCACAGAUUAAGACCCUGGAGAAGAAUUGCCAAAAGGAUUUACUUUUAAGGAAGCCCAUGAUCCUAUAAGAGUGAUCAUCAGUGUAAAUCAAAUCAAAAGACUUAGAUGCUCUCUCCAGCUCUCCAUCUCCCAACACCCAGAAGAGGUGUCAUAUGCGGUUUUUCCUCUGCACCACAUCUUCCAACUAUGAUGUCUAUCAUCAAAAAGUCCAGAGCAAUGAGAUCACAUCAUGGUGAACAGAUACCACCGUAACUCCCAGCAUAAAGAGAAAGCUUGACCCUAGACGUGGAGUGAAUUGAGUGUGCAGGUUCCUACGAGUUCACUGCGGUUCCAGUGGGGAUUGGGCAGGCUCCAAGCACUAAAUAACCCUAAUGAUAUCAGGACUGGUCCUGUUUGGUCCAUCUUAACACUGUUGGUUAACAGUGGACUCUGACUUUCAUGAGGAUGACUGGACAUCCUCUGGGAUGCCAGGAGGCUGCCCUUCCCUGCUUUGACUUUGUUCUGUCAGACUUGAUAAGAUUUUGACUUCCAGUUAAAACCUGCCAUCGGGUGUUCAGCAGGAGAGUGAAAGAGCGCCAAGCACACUGUACCAGCAUCAGAGGCUGAGCCUGCCAGCAGAACUGACUCUGAUGGAAAAGGGUGUCCUAGGGCUCCUGAUGCAGCUGCUAUCUGCAGACCUCCUGGACUGUCAGGGGAAGGGAGUGGGAGCUCCUGCCACAGAUGGGUGGAACAUCGACAAGAAGGGCUAAAGGUGGCCAAAAAUAACAGUGCCUUCCAGAUGAGGUGACCUCAGAGCCAAGAGCAUCAUGGGCUAGUGGCCUGCCAAUCACAGGACAUCAGUCUGCACACUGCCCAGCGUCUCCUCCAGGUUCAGCUUUGACAUCGUCCUCCGGAGGGCCUACUCCAAUCUCAGGACUUUCAGGUGAGGUUCUAUCUUUGGUAAGCAUUUCCUCCACCCAGUCACCACCGAAAGCACUUUUCAUCUGGACCUUUAGUCUCUGAAUGCCAACCAGCAUGGAAUUCACCUUUAAUCCUCAAAGAAGUUGGGUUCCUUUUCUCUUAGUACAAAGCCACAUAUCUCCACUGUGGAGAAUUUAGAACACACAGAAAAGCAACAUUAUAUUUAUAUACACCAUUACUACCCUUUGAUGGGGGCCCCUCUCGAUAUGAUGAUUUUUAUAGACAAAAACCCGCCAGCACUUAGAUGAAAAAGACUUUCUUCCGUGCUACUGGCUGGCUGGUAGAACCAGUUCUAUGGGACAUCAGUGCCAGGCUCCAGCUGAUUAGAAUAGGGUUAGCUAUCUGGCCCUGGGUUAGGCGUGGGUCUGUUCUUUCCUUGAGAUUAAUUCAGAUGGUAUCUGAGACUGGACCUGUGAUAUCUCACUGAGGUAGAAUUAGUCACUGUACCUGGAAAAUGAAAGCUUUGCUGGGGAAGGUGGUUUGUAGGAGAGAAUGAAGGAGGCUGCGAGGCACUGAGGAAAAGUCAGAGUUAAAGGAGCAAGAAUGCCUUACACCUGACCCCAGUGUUUUCAGUGACUCUUCUCAGGUGGCUUUGCAUCCUGAUCUUGACUCUGUCCUUGAGCAGUGUCUAUGAGAUCCUAAUACCUCCAUCUAACAAUGGUUAUAUGGUUGCUUUUUGUAAACUCCCUUUGCAAAUGAAUAAGAUGCUAGAAUCCUUCUGUGUUUCAUAUGGUCAUCCAGAUUAUAAUUUUCAGUGUGGUAGGUCAAGUGCUGUGGGGGAAGGGCACUGCAUUCUAUGUGAGCCACUUGCUCUCUGGUGCGGAAUAACACUGAGUUCACAGGCCCUUCCUCGUCUCUUUUGCUGUGUGAUUCGGGUGACAGACACUCUGUAUCUCAGUGUUUUCAUUUGUAAAAUGGUAAAUCACAAGGGAUCUUAAAGUUCCUAGACUUAAACUUGCCACAUAGCAGAGAGUGACCUUACACUUCCGACUAACCUGCCUUCAUGCUGACUUGCUGGGGUGCCCUGACGAGGUGCCAUGGUUAAUCAUCGCAAACCGGUUCUCUGCCAACAGCUCUCCUAUUUCCACCAUGUUAAAGCACAACCGCAAGAAUACUUUCAGAGCUGAGCACUUAGGCACUGGUAGCUCCUUGGGUUGAGUGCCCCCAUGCUAAAAUACUGGACCAGAGAUCAGAAGCACGAAACAUGCAUAACUGUGGUCCAGCAUCACUGUCCCUGCAGUGUGUCUGCUACCCCCGCCUUUGCCAUCCUCAUCUUCUGCCUUCUUUCGUGGCUUUGGAGACAGUGCAUUUCCUUCCAUGUGGUGUGUGCUAUACUCAACUUUCAACAAAAUGAAGAUACUGUCACAUCUGACCUGUGGGACUCUUUCAGGUGAAAUUUAAAACCACUCAGAUAGUCACUUCCAUGAGAGGGAGGUAUAGAUUAGGCUCGGAGAUACACAGGGCCAACGGGUUAGAUUUCCAGGCUACUAACCACACUGGUUGCUUUGCAUCCUUCUUGUGAAAAGUUCCAGAUGGUUCUAAGGAAGUCAAAUAUUGACUGAAUUUUGACAGUGUCUAUAAACUUUUUAGAUUUUGUAAAGUGUGCUGAGAAAUAGGAUCAUUCAGAACAUGAACGCAUUUAUUCUUUGUUGUGUCUGGAGUCACCUACGAGCCUACUACAGCCUCGUAGCUUGGAAGAACAUGGGUAUGGGACUUAGUGAUCUGCUUUUAUUUAUUUGUUUAAGUUUUUUUUUUUUUUUAACAACAUCUCAUUAUGCAGCCUGGAAUUUGCCAUGCAUUCCAGGGUUGGUCUUGAACUCCUGGAGAUCUGCCUGCCCCUGCCAAUCAGUGCUGGGGCUAAGGGCAUGCACCACCAUUCCUGGCUUGUGGCCUACUUUUUGAGGUCCACAUUGUGCUAUGCACUGAGAGGAAGGACAAAACUACCCACGUGACCUUGGUCCUUAAGGGGCAGAGUGUAUUGGGGAAGUAGAUAUAUAAAUAACUAUAAGGGAAAGAAAUCCUAUCAGGAUGGGGUCAUGCAUCUUUGAGAAAGUCCAGAAUUAAGUAUUUUAAGAGUCAAGGUCUACACUUUUAGUCAUUCAGCUGUUACAUUUUUUUAUUCUGCUCAAAUUGAUAGAAUUCUGGUUGGUCUUUUUGUUUGUUUGCUUGUUUUAAUUUAAUGUCCAACAAUGAUCAACAGGAAAUCUUUAGGCAAAGAUUUUUGUCUUUCAAAACAUGGACAUAUUGGCAAUAUUGAGACCCAGUCUACUAGGUCGUAGACAGAGGGAAUGCCAAUAGCAAAGAGGAGUUGAUGUUUUAGUUAAUAAAGGGGUUUUCCAUUGUUGUCAUCUUAAACCAUUGACCCUACUCCGGUCUGUUGUCUGAGGCCUUAUUCCUUUCUGCUAGCUGAGUGUGAGCUGCAGCCAGAGCUUAGGGGAGAAUCCCUAGUUCUCAUACAAAGUGUCGGGGAAGGCUUAGUAGUUUCUGCCAGAGAGGAGGCAUAUAAGGUGAAGAGGAAUUUGAAAAGUAUGGAGUUUUUACAGAAGGACCUUCAAACAAGAGAAAAGAGACUAAGACAGCAUGGAUGUGUACUAGAAGACUGAGAGGUUGACAGCUAAGGAUCCCUCGCAAGACCCAUGCUCUACACAUCUGUGUGCAGGACCUGGCAAAAGCCGGACCGACAGUGCAGGUGAUGUAGGCGAGAAGAUGCAGGUGUGAGGAAUGGAUGAAGAGACUGCCCACAGCGGUUACAGGAGAAAGCUGGAAGCGAAUCCCAGCCUUUGCUAACUAUGGAGCUUACAAACUCACCAUUAGGAUGCUGUGCUUACAGGGGCUUAAGAGAAGUUCCCAAGGCGCAAGUUGGAGCA